RNAcentral lists this ribosomal RNA (436 nucleotides) under uncultured bacterium. RNAcentral describes it as "partial 16S ribosomal RNA". It matches the Rfam family "Bacterial small subunit ribosomal RNA", at positions 28 to 507 of the family's 1533-position model. The record is from RNAcentral.
GAUGAACGCUGGCGGUAUGCUUAACACAUGCAAGUCGAACGGGGUGCAUAGUCACCUAGUGGCGGACGGGUGAGUAACGCGUGAGAAUCUGGCCUCAGGUCCGGGACAACCACGGGAAACGGUGGCUAAUACCGGAUGUGCCAUAUUGGUGAAAGAUUAAUUGCCUGAGGAUGAGCUCGCGUCUGAUUAGCUAGUUGGUGGGGUAAAGGCUUACCAAGGCGACGAUCAGUAACUGGUCUGAGAGGAUGACCAGUCACACUGGGACUGAGACACGGCCCAGACUCCUACGGGAGGCAGCAGUGGGGAAUUUUCCGCAAUGGGCGAAAGCCUGACGGAGCAAUACCGCGUGAGGGAGGAAGGCUCUUGGGUUGUAAACCUCUUUUCUCGGGGAAGAAGAAUGACGGUACCUGAGGAAUCAGCAUCGGCUAACUCCGUG